RNAcentral lists this ribosomal RNA (576 nucleotides) under Methylobacterium sp. H9.41. RNAcentral describes it as "bacterial SSU rRNA". It matches the Rfam family "Bacterial small subunit ribosomal RNA", at positions 84 to 695 of the family's 1533-position model. Lineage: Bacteria; Pseudomonadati; Pseudomonadota; Alphaproteobacteria; Hyphomicrobiales; Methylobacteriaceae. The record is from RNAcentral.
CUUCGGUGUCAGCGGCAGACGGGUGAGUAACACGUGGGAACGUACCCUUUGGUUCGGAAUAACGCUGGGAAACUAGCGCUAAUACCGGAUACGCCCUUUUGGGGAAAGGCUUGCUGCCGAAGGAUCGGCCCGCGUCUGAUUAGCUAGUUGGUGGGGUAAUGGCCUACCAAGGCGACGAUCAGUAGCUGGUCUGAGAGGAUGAUCAGCCACACUGGGACUGAGACACGGCCCAGACUCCUACGGGAGGCAGCAGUGGGGAAUAUUGGACAAUGGGCGCAAGCCUGAUCCAGCCAUGCCGCGUGAGUGAUGAAGGCCUUAGGGUUGUAAAGCUCUUUUGUCCGGGACGAUAAUGACGGUACCGGAAGAAUAAGCCCCGGCUAACUUCGUGCCAGCAGCCGCGGUAAUACGAAGGGGGCUAGCGUUGCUCGGAAUCACUGGGCGUAAAGGGCGCGUAGGCGGCCAUUCAAGUCGGGGGUGAAAGCCUGUGGCUCAACCACAGAAUUGCCUUCGAUACUGUUUGGCUUGAGUAUGGUAGAGGUUGGUGGAACUGCGAGUGUAGAGGUGAAAUUCGUAGAU